AUUUCAGUUACGGAGAGGUUACUAACUGGUACAUACGAACACAUACUCUGUUCUAAUCAGUGUGAAAACUGGUUUUCGCCGUUUUGGCGGACUUUUUCACUCUCAUUUUUGGGACUUCCGCGCGCGACCAGCUUGCUGGCGGCGGGUGGAGCGGUCUCCGGGGGCGUACACCUUUCCCCCGCGAGGCGCNANNNCA
Phytophthora nicotianae (black shank of tobacco agent) is the source of this 196-nucleotide non-coding RNA. The record is from Rfam. Lineage: Eukaryota; Oomycota; Peronosporomycetes; Peronosporales; Peronosporaceae.